Molecule: ribosomal RNA, 439 nt
Filed under: uncultured bacterium
Lineage: Bacteria
Description: bacterial SSU rRNA
Rfam family: Bacterial small subunit ribosomal RNA
Source: RNAcentral
GAUGAACGCUAGCGGCAGGCCUAAUACAUGCAAGUCGAGGGGCAGCGCGGUAGCAAUACUGGCGGCGACCGGCGCACGGGUGCGUAACACGUAUGCAACCUACCUUCAACUGGAGGAUAGCCCGGGGAAACUCGGAUUAAUACUCCAUAACACAGGGAUCCCGCAUGGGAAUAUUGUUAAAGCUACGGCGGUUGAAGAUGGGCAUGCGUUCGAUUAGCUAGUUGGUGUAGGUAACGGCUCACCAAGGCUACGAUCGAUAGGGGGUCUGAGAGGAUGAUCCCCCACACUGGUACUGAGAUACGGACCAGACUCCUACGGGAGGCAGCAGUAGGGAAUAUUGGUCAAUGGGCGCAAGCCUGAACCAGCCAUGCCGCGUGCAGGAAGAAGGCCUUCUGGGUUGUAAACUGUCUUUUGGCCGGGGAUAAAGAUCCAUGCGUGG